RNAcentral lists this transfer RNA (69 nucleotides) under Podarcis lilfordi (Lilford's wall lizard). RNAcentral's name for it is "tRNA.Ser". It matches the Rfam family "tRNA". Rfam says of the family: Transfer RNA (tRNA) molecules are approximately 80 nucleotides in length. Their secondary structure includes four short double-helical elements and three loops (D, anti-codon, and T loops). The record is from RNAcentral. Lineage: Eukaryota; Metazoa; Chordata; Lepidosauria; Squamata; Lacertidae.
GCUGUGGCUCAGUGGCAGAGCAUCUGCUUUGAGUGCAGAAGGUCCUGGGUUCAAUCCCCAGCAACAUCU